Molecule: long non-coding RNA, 4496 nt
Filed under: Xyrichtys novacula (pearly razorfish)
Lineage: Eukaryota; Metazoa; Chordata; Actinopteri; Labriformes; Labridae
Source: RNAcentral
UCCCCAUUGACUUCAAUGUUAAAAUUUUUGCACAAAAAGUUAAAAAAAACAAAAAGUAUAAAAGGUAGAAAGGUAAAAAGUACAAGCAAACAUGUCCUGAAGGAGUGGAAUAGUUUAAAGUUUGAACGGUUGAAAUCGGACAAAGUUUGAAGGAGUUGAAAGCGGACGAAAAACGGCGGAAGAAAAAUAAUAAUAACUAGAAAAAUUGCAUUUCCUUGCAGAAAAUGCGUGGAAAUGCUGAGUGCUGAAGCUGAAAAAGCAAUGCUAAACUGCUAAUAAAACAUGGAGAAAGGUAUAAAUGUUAAGGCUGUUGAAGGAGUGAAAAAGAAAUAUAGGUUGGACAAUUGUUUAAUUGGUUGAAGGACAAAUAGUAUGAAUAUGCUCCAAAAAAGGAAAUUUUAUUCAUGGUGAAAGAGGCUAGAAAAAUGUCUAAAAUUGCACAAAGUUUGAAUGAAGAAGGAAAUUGCCUUAAAAGGCAGGAAGGUGAGAAGUGGCAUAACUUUAAGUUGUAGUACUAGAAGUAGUAUGAUAAGAAGUCAAGUCGUGAUACUAGUAGUCAUGUCAGCAGUAGAAGUAGUUUGAGAAUGAAAGAAGAAUGAGUCAAAGUAGUAAAGAAAGUUGAAAUAGUAGCAAUAGCAGCAGUAGAGAAAGUAGAAAUAGGAGCAAUAGCAGUUGAAGUAGAGGGGAAAGUUCUAGUUUAAUUGACAUUAGCAGUAGUUGUAGUACUUGAGGUAGGAUUUUGUUUGAAGGAUGGAGUAAUGCAUGAAUAUUAAAAUUAAUUUAAAACAUGGAAAAUUUAAAUACUUAAAAAUCCUCAAGUAUCAGUUUGAAUGAGUUUAAAUUUGUUUGAAAAAUUAAAUGAUAAAUCAUCAAUGAGUGACUUAUAAAAGUGAAAAAUUUAAAUGAAUAUAAAUCCUGAAUACACCCCAUAAUGUCCUCAAUGAGCUUAAAUUUUAAAGCCCUGAAUGGUUUCUGUAGGUCAAAGGUCAUGUGAGGAGAUAGGGGCUUAGGUUUUUUCAAGCGCUCUAGUAAAGGGUUGUAAGUGUCACCCCCAGUGUUAUGUGUACUGAGCCUGGCUUCAUGUGUCUCACAUGGCCAUUAGAAGCAGCUUUCAAGUCAGCUGUGUGUCUCCAGGUGCACAAAUUGGUUGCCAUGGGGACCUUGGAUGCAUAACUAUAGCAGGAGAAAGAAGGCUUGAAGCUAAGGAAACAGGACUCCAAGUAGGCCCUGACACUCAUCCUCUGUAUAUAUUCAUAAGGAGCUAGUGAGAACACAAGACUCUGCUGAACACAUUAAUACAAUUUAUUAUCACAAUCCUCAAAACAUCCCAUAAUAUCUUCAAUGAGCUGAAUUUUUCAAGCCCAGAAUGGUUUCUGUAGCUCAAAGUUUGUGGGUGGAGAUAGGUGGUGAAGCAGACACAUAUUACCUGUGUGUACAAGCAGCUGAACUGCAAGGUAGACCUGACAGCAAAAAGUACAAGAAUGUGUGUGUGUGUGUGUGUCUCGUUAAUGACUGCAUCCUGAACAGCUGUGAGAUCAAAGGCAAAUCACUGACCUACUGUUUGAAUGAGAAGCAGCUGAACUGCAGAGGAUUUAAACCAUGUGAACUUCUUCACAUAGUGUGAUUUCCUUAAGUCCCAGAAUGAAAAUAAGAACAUCGUACGAAUCCUCCGUCCUUCAUGAACACAAUGAUGUGUUUUUCAUGUCUGUACUUCGAAAAAUGAGGCCACAACAGCGAGUUAAAAAAGUCUGAGCCUGAGCGAUGAUCCGGAUUUUCUUGGAGAAAAAUAACAUUAUGGUCAAUGGGAGAGAUUUCCGCCUUCCUUGGACAGUUGGUCACCUGCUGGCCAAGGGGUACAAUUUAAUGAUUUGAAACGUCUUUUGUGAGAAGCAGGACACAUAUACCUCCAUUUUGAUGUAUUAUUUGUGUCAGUGGAGUGAGAUUUGUGGGCGUGGGAGCGGUAUAUUCGAGCGAGGUUCUGUCGAUCAGAGACGAGGUCUGCACUCUAGCUGAUGACAUCAUCUCUCUAAACUCUCCAAUACACACCCAUUAUAAAGCCUGAAAAUUUGCUGAAAACCACAAGUUGCUUAAAGCUAAAUUGUGGAAAAACUGUACAAGAUAUCAAAAAACUGAGCACAACUUUAAUAGUCGACAAGUGAAUGAACAUUUUAAAGCAAAAAUGAGGUCUCUAGGUGAAAGUAUGCUGAAGUUAUUAGGUCUAGAAGGUGGAAGAAUAAAAGGAAGAAGUGGAACAUUUCCCCAUUCAUUUCUAUGGGAAAAAAAGUUUGGCACAAAAAGUGAAAAAUAAUAAAAAGUACAAAGGAUAGAAAGGAAAAAAAUACAAGCACACAUGUCCUGAUGGAGUGGAAUAGUUUAAAGUUUGAACGGUUGAAAUCGGACAAAGUUUGAAGGAGGAGAAGCGGUCCAAAGAAACGUAUGGGGAGAGUGUUAAGUAUAAUACUAGAAAAAUUGCAUUUCCUUGCAGAAAAUGCGUGGAAAUGCUGAGUGCUGAAAGCUGAAAAAGCAAUGCUAAACUGCUAAUAAAACAUGGAGAAAUGUAUAAAUGUUAAAGCUGUUGAAGGGGUGUGAAAGAAAUGUAAGUUGGAUAAUUGAUUAAUUGGUUGAAGGACAAAUAGUAUGAAUAUGCUCUAUAAAAAGAAAUUUGAUUCAUGCUGAAAGAGGCUAGAAAAAUGUCUAAAAUUGCACAAAGUUUGAAUGAAGAAGGAAAUUGCCUUAAAAGGCAGGAAGGUGGGAAGUGGCAUAAGUUUAAUUUUUUAAGUAUUAGAAAGGUUUGAAUCAGUUUGAAUCAGUUCAAAUUAGUUUGAAAAAUUAAAUGAUAAAUCAUCACUGAGUGACUUUAAAAUGUGAAAAAUCUAAAUGUAUAAAAAUCCUAAAUACACCCCAUAAUGUCCUCAAUGAGCUCAAAUUUUAAAGCCCCGAAUGGUUUCUGUAGGUCAAAUGUCAUGUGAGGAGAUAGGGGCUGAAGUUUUUUCAAGCGCUCUAGUAAAGGGUUUUAAGUGUCAUCCCCAGUGCUAUGUGUACUGAGCCUGGCUUCAUGUGUCUCAUAUGGCCAUCAGAAGCAGCUUUCCAGUCAGCUGUGUGUCUCCAGGUGCACUAAUUGGUUGCCAUGGGGACCUUGGAUGCAUAACUAUAGCAGGAGAAAGAAGGCUUGAAGCUAAGGAAACAGGACUCCAAGUAGGCCCUGACGCUCAUCCUCUGUAUCUAUUCCUGAUAAGGAGCUUAUGAGAACACAAGACUCUGCUAAACACAUUAAUACAAUUUAUUAUCACAAUCCUCAAAACACCCCAUAAUAUCUUCAAUGAGCUGAAUUUUAGAAGCCCAGAAUGGUUUCUGUAGCUCAAAGUUUGUGGGUGGAGAUAGGUGGCGAAGCAGACACAUAUUAACUGUGUGUACAAGCAGCUGAACUGCAAGGUAGACCUCAUAAAGCAACAAGUACAAGAAUGUGUGUGUGUGUGUGUCUCGUUAAUGACUGCAUCCUAAACAGCUGUGAGAUCAAAGGCAAAUCACUGACCUACUGUUUGAAUGAGAAGCAGCUGAACUGCAGAGGAUUUAGAGGCUCUAAACUUCUUCACAUAGCGUGAUUUCCUUAAGUCACAGAAUGAAAAUAAGAACAUCGUACGAAUCCUCCGCCCUUCAUGAACACAAUGAUGUGUUUUUCAUGUCUGUACUCCGACAAAUGUGGCCACAACAGCGAGUUAAAAAAGUCUGAGCCUGAGCGAUGAUCCGGAUUUUCUUGGAGAAAAAUAACAUUACGGUCAAUCGGAGAGAUUUCCGCCUUCUUUGGACAGUUGGUCACCUGCUGGCCAAGGGGUACGAUUUAAUGAUUUGAAACCUCUUUUGUGAGAAGCAGGACACAUAUACCUCCAUUUUGAUGUAUUAUUUGUGUCAGUGGAGUGAGAUUUGUGGGCGUGGGAGCGAUAUAUUCGAGCGAGGUUCUGUCGAUCAGAGACGAGGUCUGCACUCUAGCUGAUGACAUCAUCACUCUAAACUCUCCAAUACACACCCAUUAUAAAGCUUGAAAUUUGCUGAAAACCACAAGUUGCUUAAAGCUUAAUUGUGGAAAAACUGUAAGAGAUAUCAAAAAACUGAGUACAACUGUAAUAGUCGACAAGUGAAUGAACAUUUUAAAGCAAAAAUGAGGUCUCUAGGUGAAAGUAUGCUGAAGUAGUAAGGCUUAGAAGGUGGAAGAGUAAAAGGUAGAAUUUUAAGAUUUCCCCAUUCAUUUUUAAUGGUACAAAUUUUGCACAAAAAGUUAAAAAAAACCAAAAGUAUAAAGGGUAGAAAGGAAAAAAAUACAAGCCCUCAUGUCCUGAAGGAGUGGAAUAGUUUAAAGUUUGAACGGUUUAAAUAGCACAAAAUUUGAAGGAGGAGAUAGCGGACAAAAAUUGGCGGAAGAAUAAUAAUAAUAAUAAAGAAAAUGGCCGACAGGAAUAACAAUAAGUGGAAAUGCUUAAUCAGCAUUUCCACUUAACUAG